AACCACAACCAAAAACCAGAGAAGAAAAGCGGUCAUUUGAAACACGCCUUUAAUCUUCACACCCAUUGCGAAAGGUUGCAGAGCCGUCGUCACUAUUGCCGGCUCCGGCAAGGAUAUUGGAAUACUACUCUUCUAGUCUUUUGAUAUUGAAAGAAUUUACUGUUGGAGUUGUUUGAAUUUGCGUUCGAGCUCCGGUCAGCGGUUUCAGUUGAAACGUUUUGUUGCUCUCUGUUUCGCAAUUCAAACUCGAUCUUACUGUUGCGAGUAAAGUCUCUCAUGGCAUUCGAGUAACUCGUGCACAUCGGCCAGGGAGCUUGAAGAAUUGUUCGUUUGCUGCUGUUCAAAGCUUGAACUUCAGUCUUGAGUUUCAAACCUUCAUGUGUUCAUUCUUAUCCGAUUUUGUUACUAUGUAUUGAAUAUUCACUCGUUCUCUUGCUUUGAAUUCAUGAACAAAAAUUCUGUUUGUUUGUGCUGUACUUGCUUAUGCUUUUAUAAAUAUGGCAUUUUAGCCAUAAAAAUUGUUUAGGAUUCUGUAUUGUUUAAUCUGCGGCAUUAUUAAUUUUUGUUUUAGUUCAUUGUUCAUGUCGCCUUCAUAUUCGAUGUUCUAGAUUUAGUUGUUUAUUCAUCUAAGUUUAUGCUAAAAUUCUUCUCUGUUAACUCAUGGCAUUGUUGGUAUGUUUCGGAUGAAAUCAGAAUUAAAAUGGAAGGGAUGAGUUUUGUUUGGCUGUUAGUUAAAGUAACUAUAUCUAUGUCUAUAGUUGCAUGACCCCAAGAUCCACCACAUCUAUCGAGAGCAAAACGGUGUGGCAGACUGUUUGGCUAGAAAUGAAACAACUCUUGUGGAGACAAAUUCUGUAUUAUUUUCAAAUCCUUCAAGUUUUAUCUUACCUUUUUAUCAGCGGGAUCAUAAAGGAAAGUUGUGUACAAGGUUAUGUAAAUUAACGGAUGUAGUAGUUGCUAGUAUUGGUAAUGGCAAUAUUAGUA
Molecule: long non-coding RNA, 984 nt
Filed under: Nicotiana benthamiana
Lineage: Eukaryota; Viridiplantae; Streptophyta; Magnoliopsida; Solanales; Solanaceae
Description: long non-coding RNA (NBEN_LNC008752)
Source: RNAcentral